GUGCUUGCUUCAGCAGCACAUAUGCUAAAACUGGAACGAUACAGAGAUUAGCAUGGCCCCUGUGUAAGGAUGACACACAAAUUCGUGAAGCGUUCCAUAUUUUA
Molecule: small nuclear RNA, 104 nt
Organism: Callithrix jacchus (white-tufted-ear marmoset)
Lineage: Eukaryota; Metazoa; Chordata; Mammalia; Primates; Cebidae
Source: Ensembl